Molecule: non-coding RNA, 2085 nt
Organism: Monodelphis domestica (gray short-tailed opossum)
Lineage: Eukaryota; Metazoa; Chordata; Mammalia; Didelphimorphia; Didelphidae
Source: the annotation of a RefSeq genome assembly
CUCCCUCUGGCCAUGAACCCAGCACAAAACCUGUGUGCUGCUCUGGGAGAGGAGCUUCUCCUUGUGUGGCCUUUCCCAGCUGAGGACUGACACUGUAGAGCCUGAAUCAUGGGAUUUGGACUCAAUGGCAUUUUCAUACUGAUGAUUUUGCAAGGUGUCCAUUGUGAUAUUCAGCUGGUGGAGUCUGGGGGAGAUGUGAGACAGCCUGGAGGAUCCUUGAAACUCUCCUGCAAAGCUUCUGGAUUCACCUUCAGCAGCUACUACAUGCAUUGGAUCCGCCAGGCUCCAGGGAAGGGGCUGGAGUGGGUCUCAUACAUUAAUGGUGCUGGAAGUAGCACAAGCUACGCAGACUCUGUGAAAGGCCGAUUCACCAUCUCCAGGGACAAUGGCAACAGCCUGCUGUACCUGCAGAUGAAUUCCCUGAAAGCCGAGGACACAGCCAUGUAUUACUGUGCAAGAGACACAGUGAGGGAGAGGAGUGAGAGAGCAGACAAAAACCUCCUCUCAGCGAGUUCUGUUGGAGAAUGACAGAGAGGGAACUCCAGAACUCUGAGCACAAGGAGCCCAGUUACAACAACAGGUGAAGAGGGAGGCUGACAAGUGUCUUUUCAAGGCAGCUGCCUAAGAAGGUGGGAUUCGCCCUCUCAGCCUCUUCUCAUUUCAGUCAGAGUUUCAGGGACUCUAUCAGAAUGUCUUUUGACCUCAUAGGAAGAUGCUUGCUGUGGUCUAAACAAGCAGGAUUUAUGGAAGGUCCUCCCAAUGCUUCUCUGGGGAUGGGAGUGGAAUAAAUUCCUUUAACUUCCGUUUCUGAGCUGGCGUCAUUUAAUUAGGGUUAAGUCUAGAUGCUCCGUUUAACAUCUAACAUAGGUAUAAAUAUGUGUGUAUGUACAUGUGUGUAUAUUUCUGUGUGUGCUCAUAGUGAUCUUUCCAUGUAGGUAUUUAUCCAUAUUCGUGCAUAUAUGGGAGGGACCUAACUGGAGGGAACAUGAGGCUUCUGCUCAGCCAGACUUUUCAUAUUAUCAAAAUCUUAUUCCUUUUGUCCCUGUGGAGGGAGUUUCCAUGCUGCCUUGCACAGCUGGGAGGCCUUUGUGGUGGUCUUCACUGGGGCUGGGCCAUACAGGAGGCAAGUCUCUGCACUAGAGACUUGGGCCUGCUUUGGGCCUCCCUGUGCACCUGUGCUAGGGGCAGGGCCUCACUGGUGCUUGUGCCAGGUUGAAGCCUUGUUCCUGUGGGGGUAGAGCCCGGCUGGAGGCCUGGCUGAGCCCUUGCUAUAGACCCUUACUAGCAGUGGGACCUCUCAGCUCACUUUGCUGCCUAGAGUUAGCCAAGACCUUCCCUGUCACGUGGGCUGGGGCUUCCCCUUCUCUGGCUGGGAUGCAGCCUGCCUUUGCUUAGACUGCUCCAACUGUGCUUCCCUCCAAGUCUUGUGGGUCUGACCUUUCCUGCUGGUUCUCUGCGCUGCUCUGGGCUGCAGGACUCUUAACUGCUUUUAAAUUUAGAGCUGCAGGGAACCAAAGAGAACCUUUCUGGCAAUCCAAGAACAUUAGCUCAAGCUGGGAGCUGAAGAUGAAGCAGAAUCAACUGUGCUUUUUCAGAACCAACAGACAUACAGAUUUGUGGGCCAAGACAAGGCAAAGGGGAUUCUUUACUUUUGCAGUCUGGUACGAAGAUUUUGUUGAAAAGUUUCCUUUCUGCUGGUAUAGUCGGAUAUUAUUUCCAUGCUUUAAAAACUCCCUACUGAAGAUAUGCUCUAACAGGCUUUGUCAUUCCCCUGCAGCAGAGAUCCUUGGGCUUCUUUAUGGAUUUGACCAGAAUAGGGGAAAAAGUAGACUGAUGCACUAAAACUCAUGUAAGAUUUAGAUUACCAAUGUUGAUUUACCUAAUGAUGCUCUUAAUGUGCUCACUAUUGUAUGAACUGAUUUUUAACAAAGGGGCUAAGCAAUCUUCCUAUAAAUAAAAGCAGAAUUCAUAAAAAUGCUCAAUUUCAUGAAUGAAUAAUCUACAGAUACUUUGAGAGGAUUCAUGUGAUAACUUGUUUUUGUAUCUCAAGCCCUUAAUAAAUAAUAAAUAGUAUUUAAUUAAUAA